Unclassified non-coding RNA from Octopus bimaculoides (California two-spot octopus), 861 nucleotides. The record is from RefSeq and is a predicted model, not a curated record. Lineage: Eukaryota; Metazoa; Mollusca; Cephalopoda; Octopoda; Octopodidae.
CUAACCACUGGGCCAUUGCACCUCCACUGUUAAGCCUUUACUUGCUUACUCUUUGACAAGGAGCCUUCACCUACGGAACAUUGACAGAUGAACGUAUCUGACGAAUUAUCCAAAAAAACAAUUAAGUCCUUCGUUUCACUCUUCGUCUCAAGUCACUGUCAAGAUGUUCGUAGACCCAGUUUUACCAUGGGGCUGAGUCUUUAUGUUUUACUUGAUAAAUCACAAAUAUGAGUUGGUGGAUAUUUUUGACGAUGGAAACAAGCUCUCGGUGAACACCGCCAAAAUGCUCCGACAAAGGGAGUGAGGGGAAAAAAAGCAUCCUAAUGUUUAUUAAUUUUAUUUCAAAAGCUUUAAACAGAACUUUUCGGUGUGGAAACUACCGACUCCCCACUCGCCAUUCCGGUUGAAAUCCACAAACACACUCUGAUCUUUAUAUCAAUGUUUACGUAGAUAAAUACACCAGUGCCUAUUUUUGUUUUUGUUUGGUUGUUUAAAUAAUGAGAUUUGGUGGAGAUUCUUGGAUUCUAACCCUAACCCUAACCAAAGACAAUAAUGGCAAGUUUCCCUCGGUGACACACUCGGUUCGCUAUUGGUUUCCUAUUUGAACUGCUAUAGUCACAUUUUACUUUGUGUCUCGUCUCCGGAAAAGCUCCACCGAAGAUCCAUACCUCCAUACCCCCUGACACAGCUACAGUCUCUCUUCAGAAUGUCUUCCACACCAAGUUCCUCCAAAAACCAGCAACAACAACAACUCUAACAUCAGCCAGAAAAUCAUUACAUUUGCUGAGCCUAAGAAACAUCAACAAAUUUCCACCUUUCACUUGUGUUUAUUGCAAUUAGAAUAUAUUCACUUCCAUAAGU